Molecule: ribosomal RNA, 403 nt
Filed under: uncultured bacterium
Lineage: Bacteria
Description: bacterial SSU rRNA
Rfam family: Bacterial small subunit ribosomal RNA
Source: RNAcentral
GAUGAACGCUGGCGGCGUGCCUAAUACAUGCAAGUCGAACGCAUUGUGGUUGAAAUGAUAUGAAGAACUUGUUCAGAUUUGAUUUUCAACACUGCAAUGAGUGGCGAACGGGUGAGUAACACGUGGGAAACCUACCUCUUAGCAGGGGAUAACAUUUGGAAACAAAUGCUAAUACCGUAUAAUAAUUAAAACCGCAUGGUUUUAGUUUAAAGAUGGUCUUGCUAUCACUAAGAGAUGGUCCCGCGGUGUAUUAGUUAGUUGGUGAGGUAAUGGCUCACCAAGACAAUGAUUCAUAGCCGAGUUGAGAGACUGACCGGCCACAAUGGGACUGAGACACGGCCCAUACUCCUACGGGAGGCGAGCAGUAGGGAAUCUUCCACAAUGGACGAAAGUACUGAUGGAG